UACCCGCAACGGGACGGAAAGACCCCGUGAACCUUUACUAUAGCUUCACAGUGGACUUUGAGCCUGCUUGUGUAGGAUAGCUGGGAGACAUUGAAGCGGUGACGCUAGUCAUCGUGGAGUCGUCCUUGAAAUACCAGCCUGGCAUGUUCGAGGUUCUAACCCAGGUCCCUUAUCGGGAUCGGGGACAUUGUGUGGUGGGUAGUUUGACUGGGGCGGUCUCCUCCCAAAGAGUAACGGAGGAGCACAAAGGUACCCUCAGCACGGUCGGACAUCGUGCAUUGAGCGUAAAGGUAGAAGGGUGCUUGACUGCGAGACCCACAAGUCGAGCAGGUGCGAAAGCAGGUCUUAGUGAUCCGGUGGUUCUGUAUGGAAGGGCCAUCGCUCAACGGAUAAAAGGUACUCCGGGGAUAACAGGCUGAUACCGCCCAAGAGUUCACAUCGACGGCGGUGUUUGGCACCUCGAUGUCGGCUC
This 472-nucleotide ribosomal RNA is filed under the name Proboscia alata. RNAcentral's name for it is "partial Bacterial large subunit ribosomal RNA". It matches the Rfam family "Bacterial large subunit ribosomal RNA", at positions 2067 to 2538 of the family's 2925-position model. The record is from RNAcentral. Lineage: Eukaryota; Bacillariophyta; Melosirophyceae; Probosciales; Probosciaceae.